Non-coding RNA from Lentinula edodes (shiitake mushroom), 92 nucleotides. Lineage: Eukaryota; Fungi; Basidiomycota; Agaricomycetes; Agaricales; Omphalotaceae. The record is from Rfam.
GCCUCAAUAGCUCAGUGGUAGAGUGUUUGGUGAAAAUCAGAACAUGCAUUCAUUGUCACUAAUAGGCUAGGGUUCAAAUCCCUAUUGAGACU